UUACAGAAUGAAAAGUGCUUAACUGCAUUUUUUCUUACACAUGUGUUUUUCUUUUUUUGAAAACUUUGCUUUGGUAGGCCUUCUAUAUGGGGCCUGCCAGAGAUUAAACUCAACCAAAUUUUAUUUAAUGUCAACCGAUUAUUUAAUAGUCAAAACUUUCAACAACGGAUCUCUUGGUUCUCGCAUCGAUGAAGAACGCAGCGAAAUGCGAUAAGUAAUAUGAAUUGCAGAUAUUCGUGAAUCAUCGAAUCUUUGAACGCACAUUGCGCCCUUUGGUAUUCCAAAGGGCAUGCCUGUUUGAGCGUCAUUUCUCCCUCAAACCCUCGGGUUUGGUGUUGAGCGAUACGCUGGGUUUGCUUGAAAGAAAGGCGGAGUAUAAACUAAUGGAUAGGUUUUUUCCACUCAUUGGUACAAACUCCAAAACUUCUUCCAAAUUCGACCUCAAAUCAGGUAGGACUACCCGCUGA
Molecule: ribosomal RNA, 467 nt
Filed under: Lodderomyces parapsilosis
Lineage: Eukaryota; Fungi; Ascomycota; Pichiomycetes; Serinales; Debaryomycetaceae
Description: eukaryotic LSU rRNA
Rfam family: 5.8S ribosomal RNA (bases 154-307)
Source: RNAcentral